UUUUUUAAAAAAAAAAACAUAAGAUGCUAUUUGGUUAUCUGAUCAUGAUUUGCAAGCAAAGGUUGUGUUUUUCAGCCUAGCUCAAAAAUCGUGGAUUUAGGGUUCGUGAAUUUUAAAUCCAAUGGCACAAAAGCAAAGAGACCCCCAGGACAGAUCCAGAAAACACAGGGAGCAAAAAAAAAAAAGCAAGUUUUUUGGUUUUCUUUGGGGGUUUUGCAUGGAUUUUCUCGAAAAUCAAACAAGGAUGAAUUUUCCCGAAAAUCGAAUGGGGGAUGGAUUUUCUUGGGAAUCAAACGGGGGUUUUUCAAAGAGAAAACACAGGAAGAAAAAAAAAACAAUUUAUUUGGUUUUCCUUGGGGGUUUUGCAUGGAUUUUCUCGGAAAUCAAACGAGAAUGAAUUUUCCUGGAAAUCGAAUGGGGGAUGGAUUUUCCUAUGAAUCAAACGGGGGUUUUGCAAAGAGAAAACAUAGGAAGAAAAAAAAAAGCAAUUUUUUUGGUUU
RNAcentral lists this long non-coding RNA (500 nucleotides) under Vitis vinifera (wine grape). Its description in RNAcentral is "long non-coding RNA (VVIN_LNC003864)". Lineage: Eukaryota; Viridiplantae; Streptophyta; Magnoliopsida; Vitales; Vitaceae. The record is from RNAcentral.